GACAACGUGGCCGAGCGGUUAAGGCGAUGGACUCGAAAUUAGCCAUGUGCAUUCUUGACAUCCAUUGGAGUUUCUCCGCGUAGGUUCGAGUCCUGCCGUUGUCG
This 104-nucleotide transfer RNA is filed under the name Phaeodactylum tricornutum CCAP 1055/1. RNAcentral's name for it is "tRNA-Ser for anticodon CGA". It matches the Rfam family "tRNA". From Rfam's summary of the family: Transfer RNA (tRNA) molecules are approximately 80 nucleotides in length. Their secondary structure includes four short double-helical elements and three loops (D, anti-codon, and T loops). Further hydrogen bonds mediate the characteristic L-shaped molecular structure. tRNAs have two regions of fundamental functional importance: the anti-codon, which is responsible for specific mRNA codon recognition, and the 3' end, to which the tRNAs corresponding amino acid is attached (by aminoacyl-tRNA synthetases). tRNAs cope with the degeneracy of the genetic code in two manners: having more than one tRNA (with a specific anti-codon) for a particular amino acid; and 'wobble' base-pairing, i.e. permitting non-standard base-pairing at the 3rd anti-codon position. Lineage: Eukaryota; Bacillariophyta; Bacillariophyceae; Surirellales; Neidiaceae. The record is from Rfam by way of RNAcentral.